GAUGAAGAACGCAGCGAAAUGCGAUAAGUAAUGAGAAUUGCAGAAUUCAGUGAAUCAUCGAAUCUUUGAACGCACCUUGCGCUCUUUGGUAUUCCGAAGAGCAUGCCUGUUUGAGUGUCAUGAAAAUAUCAACCUUGACUUGGGUUUUGUGCUCUAGUCUCGGCUUGGAAUUGGGUGCUUGCCGCUUUUACGAGCGGCUCACCUUAAAUGUAUUAGCUGGAUCUGUCUUUGAGACUUGGUUUGACUUGGCGUAAUAAGUAUUUCGCUAAGGACAUUCUUCGGAGUGGCCUCGUUUCUAGGACGCUUGUCCGCUUUCCAAUACAAGUUCCACCUCGUGGACAUGACUUUUUAUUAUCUGGCCUCAAAUCAGGUAGGACUACCCGCUGAACUUAAGCAUAUCAAUAAGCGGAGGA
Molecule: unclassified non-coding RNA, 413 nt
Filed under: soil metagenome
Description: partial contains 5.8S ribosomal RNA, internal transcribed spacer 2, and large subunit ribosomal RNA
Rfam family: 5.8S ribosomal RNA (bases 1-120)
Source: RNAcentral